RNAcentral lists this ribosomal RNA (253 nucleotides) under uncultured bacterium. RNAcentral describes it as "partial 16S ribosomal RNA". It matches the Rfam family "Bacterial small subunit ribosomal RNA", at positions 524 to 776 of the family's 1533-position model. The record is from RNAcentral.
UACGAAGGGGGCUAGCGUUGCUCGGAAUUACUGGGCGUAAAGCGCACGUAGGCGGCUUUGUAAGUUAGAGGUGAAAGCCCGGGGCUCAACCCCGGAAUUGCCUUUAAGACUGCAUCGCUUGAAUCCGGGAGAGGUGAGUGGAAUUCCGAGUGUAGAGGUGAAAUUCGUAGAUAUUCGGAAGAACACCAGUGGCGAAGGCGGCUCACUGGACCGGUAUUGACGCUGAGGUGCGAAAGCGUGGGGAGCAAACAGG